Molecule: ribosomal RNA, 460 nt
Filed under: uncultured bacterium
Lineage: Bacteria
Description: partial 16S ribosomal RNA
Rfam family: Bacterial small subunit ribosomal RNA
Source: RNAcentral
CCUACGGGUGGCAGCAGUGAGGAAUAUUGGUCAAUGGACGAGAGUCUGAACCAGCCAAGUAGCGUGAAGGAUGACUGCCCUAUGGGUUGUAAACUUCUUUUAUAUGGGAAUAAAGUGUUCCACGUGUGGGCUUUUGUAUGUACCAUAUGAAUAAGGAUCGGCUAACUCCGUGCCAGCAGCCGCGGUAAUACGGAGGAUCCGAGCGUUAUCCGGAUUUAUUGGGUUUAAAGGGAGCGUAGGGGGGUUGUUAAGUCAGUUGUGAAAGUUUGCGGCUCAACCGUAAAAUUGCAGUUGAAACUGGCAGUCUUGAGUACAGUAGAGGUGGGCGGAAUUCGUGGUGUAGCGGUGAAAUGCUUAGAUAUCACGAAGAACUCCGAUUGCGAAGGUAGCUCACUGGACUGCCACUGACACUGAGGCACGAAAGUGUGGGUAUCAAACAGGAUUAGAUACCCUGGUAGUC